GUUGGUUACCAUAGCGGAAAACAUAACACCCGAUUCCAUCCCGAACUCGGCAGUGAAAGUUUCCAGCGCUGAUGGUAGUGCAUCUUAAGGUGUGCGAGAGUAAGACGUUGCCAACU
RNAcentral lists this ribosomal RNA (116 nucleotides) under Candidatus Cytomitobacter indipagum. Lineage: Bacteria; Pseudomonadati; Pseudomonadota; Alphaproteobacteria; Holosporales; Holosporaceae. The record is from RNAcentral.